RNAcentral lists this ribosomal RNA (549 nucleotides) under uncultured bacterium. RNAcentral describes it as "bacterial SSU rRNA". It matches the Rfam family "Bacterial small subunit ribosomal RNA", at positions 355 to 896 of the family's 1533-position model. The record is from RNAcentral.
UGGGGAAUAUUGCACAAUGGGCGCAAGCCUGAUGCAGCCAUGCCGCGUGUGUGAAGAAGGCCUUCGGGUUGUAAAGCACUUUCAGCGGGGAGGAAGGCGUUAAGGUUAAUAACCUUGGCGAUUGACGUUACCCGCAGAAGAAGCACCGGCUAACUCCGUGCCAGCAGCCGCGGUAAUACGGAGGGUGCAAGCGUUAAUCGGAAUUACUGGGCGUAAAGCGCACGCAGGCGGUCUGUCAAGUCGGAUGUGAAAUCCCCGGGCUCAACCUGGGAACUGCAUUCGAAACUGGCAGGCUAGAGUCUUGUAGAGGGGGGUAGAAUUCCAGGUGUAGCGGUGAAAUGCGUAGAGAUCUGGAGGAAUACCGGUGGCGAAGGCGGCCCCCUGGACAAAGACUGACGCUCAGGUGCGAAAGCGUGGGGAGCAAACAGGAUUAGAUACCCUAGUAGUCCACGCCGUAAACGAUGUCGAUUUGGAGGUUGUGCCCUUGAGGCGUGGCUUCCGGAGCUAACGCGUUAAAUCGACCGCCUGGGGAGUACGGCCGCAAGGUUA